Long non-coding RNA from Dromaius novaehollandiae (emu), 1570 nucleotides. RefSeq lists it as uncharacterized. The transcript has 4 exons. The record is from RefSeq and is a predicted model, not a curated record. NCBI's taxonomy places the organism in Eukaryota, Metazoa, Chordata, Aves, Casuariiformes, Dromaiidae.
AAAUCUAAUUUGGAAAAGCUGCUUCACUCAUCGUCUUGGUUCUGUAACUGGCACCAAGCAUUAAAUUAAUCUACUAAAAAUCAUCAGGACACUUCCAGAGGGAACUUUGCUUUGGCUUCUGUACUGCAUCUGAAGGCAGGUGUUUGGAUUCAGCCAGGAGAACAGUCUCUAUAUUGACUGGAUUACAAAACCGAAUGACGACAUCGCGUGUCAGACCUGUGCUGCUCUUCGGAGGAACUUGGCCUGGAAGCAAAAGCAAGAAGGAGGGAAGUGAGUCUUGCUUGCUGUGGGAAAAAACAGAUGUGACAUACAAGUACUGAAGUCCCUAAGAGCCUGAUGUAUACAUUGCAACAUCUUUUUUUUGCUGCUCCAAGUUCUGCCAGACAGCACAGGGAACAUGUGGAACUCAGGGAAUUAUGCAAGCCUGUAUGCAGACAUCAGAUGCACUUGAUGCCACUGAAGAAAGGACGGAUUAGCAAAGAGGGCUUGUGCUCCUGGGACACUGAGAGAAAAUCAAAUGUUACCUAAGUCUAAAGGAUAUACAGAAAAAAGAGACACAUAAAAAUACAGUGUCUGAGAUGUCAAAUAUAUAUAAAAAAGAAAGUAUAAAUCAAGUGGCUAGCAUAAAACUGACUUAUGCUGACAAUAUACGGUGUAAUUUGUACGUUUACUUGUUUUGGAAAAAGUGCCUCUCAUUUCUCCUGAUUGGGUCUUUACAUCCUUCCUAAAGAAGCUGAUCAAAGCUAAACAAUUACUGAAGUUUUACUGCUCUGUAUACAAUAUUUUGUUUUCUAAUUGGAUAUCACUGAUGUACAAGGGACAAGCUAGUUCCCUGCUCAGCAUCCAGUGGAAUGGAACAACCAUGCAUUGGACACUGGGCAAAUAAACUGGGUGUCUGGAAGCCUCUCUGGCAGUGGUUGUAGCCAGAAGCAGAGGAAGAUGCAUGAAGACUCAAACUGCAGCAAUAUUUCUGAAUUUGUUCCUUCUCUACCUUCUCUACCUUCUCCCCGUACCCUUACACCCCUCUUUGUGCCUGGCGUGAAGGAGGUUCUAGUGGAGCUGAUACUCAUGUCAUCCAGCAGUCCCAAACACUGAAAUACCUUCCCUCACUGAAUCCUGCUGCCCACUUCUCCACGUUGAAGCUAUCUUUUGCUCCAUUGCAAAUGAGGCAUCCAUAAGGAUGGUGACCACGACAGGAUUUUUUCCAGCAAAGAAGAAAAUAUGUUUCUCUCAUGCAGGGGUGAGCACAGGUAAAAAUCAGCAGAGCCUGGACUUUUGUUGUGUGAGAUUAUUUACCUUGAUAAGUGUUCACAGAAUCAGGGGUGAUAUCUCUCAGCACUGGUGCUGGAUUUCCACUCAUUUUGUACCAGGGUCUUCCUGUGAAUCUCCUGUGGGAACAGUUCAGUACUACUUAAAGGGAUGACGUUUCUGUAAUUGUGUAAUUAUUGUUCCAAGGUUCUUUCUUGUGCUUGUUAACCCUUCGUUUCAGCAAAAGUGUAAUCCCACCCUAUUGAAUUUGGAUAAAAUGUGAUUGAGAAUCAACAGCAGUUCCCAGUAAAGAGUUGAUAUU